UGUGAUAAAAUUUGUAAUUUUCUCUCAUGUCGUGUUUGGAUAUUAGUCAAAGUGAUUAUUCAUUGAUGUGGUUCCCUGAAACUCAUCCUACAAAUUAAUAUUUGACGGUUAUUUUUACAACUUGAUGAUUGAGAUGUAAUAGGAGAAUUGUGAUGGAAUGAUUGGGCAUAGAUAGGUUGAGAGUUAAAGACUUUUAUUGAGUGGUGCUUGAGGGCAAGCACAAAAUAAGUGUGGGAGAGUUUGAUAGUGCCUAAAAAUGACAUCAUUAUCACUUACUUUUUAGUUAUUAAACUUGAUAGUAUGCUAUCUAAUCCGAACUAUUUUAUAUAUUUUAUUGUAGAACAGAAAAUAAGGACGAAAUAAGGAAAAACAACAUGA
RNAcentral lists this long non-coding RNA (378 nucleotides) under Carica papaya (papaya). RNAcentral's name for it is "long non-coding RNA (CPAP_LNC016542)". Lineage: Eukaryota; Viridiplantae; Streptophyta; Magnoliopsida; Brassicales; Caricaceae. The record is from RNAcentral.